Molecule: ribosomal RNA, 500 nt
Filed under: uncultured bacterium
Lineage: Bacteria
Description: partial 16S ribosomal RNA
Rfam family: Bacterial small subunit ribosomal RNA
Source: RNAcentral
AUUGAACGCUGGCGGAAUGCUUUACACAUGCAAGUCGAACGGCAGCACGGACUUCGGUCUGGUGGCGAGUGGCGAACGGGUGAGUAAUGUAUCGGAACGUGCCCAGUCGUGGGGGAUAACGUAGUGAAAAUUACGCUAAUACCGCAUACGAUCUAUGGAUGAAAGCGGGGGAUCGCAAGACCUCGCGCGAUUGGAGCGGCCGAUAUCAGAUUAGGUAGUUGGUGGGGUAAAGGCCCACCAAGCCAACGAUCUGUAGCCGGUCUGAGAGGGCGACCAGCCACACUGGAACUGAGACACGGUCCAGACUCCUACGGGAGGCAGCAGUGGGGAAUGUUGGACAAUGGGCGAAAGCCUGAUCCAGCCAUUCCGCGUGCAGGAUGAAGGCCCUCGGGUUGUAAACUGCUUUUGUACAGAACGAAAAGGUUUCUACUAAUACUAGGAGCUCAUGACGGUACUGUAAGAAUAAGCACCGGCUAACUACGUGCCAGCCGCCGCCGUAA